UGUCACCAUCAGAAACUACAUCCUUUUAUAUGUGUGCAGUGUUAUUUUUUAUGUGCUACAAAUACUUGAAAGUUACUUAGCAGUAUAACCAUAAAUAAUAAUGCUGCCAGUCUCCUUCAGACAAAA
This 126-nucleotide small nucleolar RNA is filed under the name Otolemur garnettii (small-eared galago). The record is from RNAcentral. Lineage: Eukaryota; Metazoa; Chordata; Mammalia; Primates; Galagidae.